GACGAACGCUGGCGGCGUGCUUAACACAUGCAAGUCGAACGGAAAGGCCCUGCUUUUCUUGUGUGCUGGAGGGGCGAGAGGGUGAGUAACACGUGAGUAACCUGCCCUUUACUUCUGGAAAACUUCAGGAAACCGGGGCUAAUACCGGAUAGGAGCUCUUGCUCCAUGGGGUGGGUUGGAAAGUUUGGGCGGUGGGGGAUGUACUCGUGGAUUAGCAGCUUGUUGGUGGGGUAGUGGGUUACCAAGGCUGUGACGGGUAGCCGGCCUGGGAGGGUGAACGGGCACAAGGGGACUGAGGGAGGGCCCAGAAGCCUACGGGAGGCAGCAGGGGGGAGUAUUACGCAAUGGGGGGAAGCCUGAGGCGGCGACGCCGGGUGCGGGAUGACGGCCUUCGGGUGGUAAACAGAUUUCGACUGUGAUGAAGCGUUAGUGACGGUAAUGGGUAAAGAAGCACCGGCUAACUACGUG
This 468-nucleotide ribosomal RNA is filed under the name uncultured bacterium. RNAcentral's name for it is "partial 16S ribosomal RNA". It matches the Rfam family "Bacterial small subunit ribosomal RNA", at positions 28 to 507 of the family's 1533-position model. The record is from RNAcentral.